AAGUCGUAACAAGGUUUCCGUAGGUGAACCUGCGGAAGGAUCAUUAAUGAUUUUAAAGCGAGUCGAGCGUUAAGCGAGGCUUGCGAAAUAUUUAAAACCCCACUCUUUUUAACUUUAAAAAAUAAAUCAUGACACAUGAAUUUAAAAAAAGAUCACUUUCAACAACGGAUCUCUUGGCUCUCGCAUCGAUGAAGAACGCAGCGAAAUGCGAUAAGUAGUGUGAAUUGCAUAAUUUUGUGAAUCAUCGAAUCUUUGAACGCAAAUUGCACUCCCUGGUAUUCCGGGGAGUAUGCCUGUUUGAGGGUCGUUAGAACAAAAAUCGAAGCGUCGCUCUUUUUUUAAGGGUGAUCGCGUCGGAAUUGAGCCGUCUUUCAAAUGUUAAUGCAUGUCAAAGUGGCUUAAAAUUCAUCCAUCCGGUACGAUUAAAGCGUAUUUAAGAUCAAUUUUGAUUAAGAACGCGCGAUGAACGUACCAUCUCAUGUAGUACGUUUGACCUGGGUCAUCAGGUUCAUUCGUAUACGAUACUCAAACUUUUGACCUCAAAUCAGGUAAGGAUACCCGCUGAACUUA
This 570-nucleotide ribosomal RNA is filed under the name uncultured fungus. Its description in RNAcentral is "eukaryotic LSU rRNA". The stretch from base 154 to 307 matches the Rfam family "5.8S ribosomal RNA". The record is from RNAcentral. Lineage: Eukaryota; Fungi.